UUUGAUUGUGAUUAUAGAACUUUUUGAUGUGUGUUUUCUUUGUGCUAGGGAUUCCAACUUGAGCCUAAUUGAGGAACCAUUACCAUGAGUUCCUAAGAGAGAGGUCCAAGAUGUCUUGAGGAAUCUUGUCCAAGAAUUAUUGAUUGUUGAUUGCUUGAGUUUAUACUUGUGAUUGCUUAUUCCAAAGGAGGGGAGCUACUUGGAUCAUCAAUAUGAUUUCAAGAGAGGGACUCCUUUU
Molecule: long non-coding RNA, 238 nt
Filed under: Lathyrus oleraceus (garden pea)
Lineage: Eukaryota; Viridiplantae; Streptophyta; Magnoliopsida; Fabales; Fabaceae
Description: Pisum sativum (pea) long non-coding RNA (PSAT_LNC020138)
Source: RNAcentral